UUCGCGUGUCAACACUCUAUUGACUAAUUUUUUCAAAAAUAAACUUCAUGUUAAGCGAUUCUUUUUUUUUUUCUAAAGAUGCAGCAAUCCAAUCACAAUCAGCUCGCUUUGCUGCUUCGCUUUGAUUUACUUUUCCGUAGAGAAGAUAAUUAGAUACCCCAAUUAAUCUACCAACCACCACCAAUAUUGCUAAGAAAUUAAGGCAUGUGCCAUCAAUUAAGGAGGACAUGCAUUAUUAUUAUUUGACUUAUAAU
Molecule: long non-coding RNA, 254 nt
Filed under: Panax ginseng (ginseng)
Lineage: Eukaryota; Viridiplantae; Streptophyta; Magnoliopsida; Apiales; Araliaceae
Description: long non-coding RNA (PGIN_LNC012686)
Source: RNAcentral